Molecule: long non-coding RNA, 961 nt
Filed under: Equus asinus (donkey)
Lineage: Eukaryota; Metazoa; Chordata; Mammalia; Perissodactyla; Equidae
Description: lncRNA (ENSEASG00005024005.1)
Source: RNAcentral
GAAUCUUCCCGGCCUGGGCCCCAGACAUGUGGGCAAGCGAGAAGCCUCCAGGAGAUUCUAGUUCCCAGCGCUUUAGCCACAACAGUCCACGGUGGGUGGAGCAGAGCGGAGCUGUCUUCCAAGGGCAGACGGAAGAGUUCUUUUCACUGCCAGGAACUGACCUGUUUCCUUAUGUGUUGAUUCUCCCCCUGAUGAGGAUGUCAGCUCCAUGACAGGGCUUCUGGUGGCCACUGAGAGGAAGAGAGGUUCUCUGCAUUCAUCUUCUCUCCAGAUGGAAUGUUCUUCUUUGUAGAAGAGAAGACUAGCACUGCUGUGCUACCCUGUUGGCACCUAUUCACUUUUCCUCACUUGAUCUCCACACCAACGUUUCGCCUGAGGAACCGAGGGUGAUAAGUAACUCCACCUUCUAAAGAAGCUGCUAAAGCAUCCAUGUAGGAUUUGCUAAGAAGUGGCCCAACACCAGUUCUAUGCCCUUGCCCCAUCACCCACCUCCAGCCUAUAUAUGAGAAGACUGGAGCUUGAUCAAGGAUGCUGGGGAGUAAAGAUUUCUUCAAAGCAACUUAUCACAGUGUCCUGUGUUUUCCCUACCCACCGACUGAGGCUUGAAGGAAAGUGUUUUCUUGUCCCUCUUCAAGCCAGAUCCAACUAAAAACCCUGGAUAUUGUACCUAAAAGACACAAAAGAAGAAUCUGGAAGGUGGAGAGAAGAGGUAGAUUGGCUAGACCUUGGGAUCCCAAGAGCAGCAUGGGGCUGUCGCUGUGAAUGGACAUAGCAGCUGGAAUGGAGGAUAACACAUCACACCUCCACUUUGAAUUUCCUGCCUUUUGUUUUCUUGAAUCAUAGCCUUGAUGUUGUUUAAAUAGUGCUCUGUAUAUUUAAUUUCCUUUUUCUCUUCACAAAGACCAAAUGAUUUUUUAAAACCAUCUCAUCUUUCAUGGUAGGUUAUAAAAGUGUUCUUGAG